ACACCGAUGGUGAAGCGGUUAUCAUGCUUGCCUUCCAUGACAAAUAUGUGUGUAUUAAGCAAGCGGCAGGGGUUCGACUCCCCUUCGGUGUA
This is a non-coding RNA of Mycena albidolilacea, 92 nucleotides long. Lineage: Eukaryota; Fungi; Basidiomycota; Agaricomycetes; Agaricales; Mycenaceae. The record is from the annotation of a GenBank genome assembly.